GAAAAUUAAACACGCACACAGGAGAGAGAGAGAGAGAAAAAAAAGUGAUGUGAAGACAGCAGCAGAGAUUGGAGCGAUGUGGCCAUAGCCAAGCUAUGUCAGCAGCCAUCAGAAGUUGGAAGAGGCAAGGAAGGAUUUGAGCCUAGAGCCUUUGGAAGGAGCAUGGCCCUGUUGGUUCUGGCCUCCAGAACUGCAAGAAAAUACAUUUUUGUUGUUUUAAACCACCCAGUUCAUGGUAAUUUGUAACACCAGCUACAAGAAAUUAACACAAGGCUGAUGUGACUUUCCAUCAGGAGAGAGACAGCCCCAGCCACCCUGUGAAGACGUGCCUUUCGUCAAGAUUGUAAGUUUCCUGAGGCCUUCCCACCCAUGCGGAACUAUUCAUGAACCAUUGUUUGGGGAAACAAUUGAUUACCUGUGGAGAAGAAAGACGUAAAAUAAAAUAGUUAAGACAGAAUAAAUUAAAGUAUUAAAAGCAAA
Homo sapiens (human) is the source of this 480-nucleotide long non-coding RNA. Ensembl annotates it as PAXBP1 antisense RNA 1. Its record names the gene PAXBP1-AS1. Lineage: Eukaryota; Metazoa; Chordata; Mammalia; Primates; Hominidae. The record is from Ensembl.